UGCCUAACAGCUAGCCUCAAAAAAUAAAAAUUUACUAUUAUGGACUUAAAAACUCAUAAUAAACCUAAACAAAUCAUUUUACCCCCUAAGUACGGGCGACAGAAAAGGAAAAAAGAGCAACAGAUAAAGUACCGCAAGGGAACGCCUGAAAAAGAAAUGAAAUAAACCAUUUAAGCACCAAAAAGCAGAGUUUACUACUCGUACCUUUUGCAUCAUGAUUUAGCAAGAAAACUACAAGCGAAGAGCCCUUUAGUUUGUAACCCCGAAACUGAGCGAGCUACUCCAAGACAGCCUAUAAAGGGCAAACCCGUCUCUGUGGCAAAAGAGUGGGAAGAGCUUUGAGUAGAGGUGAUAAACCUACCGAGCCCAGUUAUAGCUGGUUGCCUGUGAAAUGAAUAGGAGUUCAGCCCUUUAAGUCUUUCCUCCCUCACCCAUGCUUACGCUAAAAUUGAUUAAGGAAACUAAGGGAGUUAAUCAAAAGGGGUACAGCCCUUUUGAUAAAAGAAACAACUUUAACAGGUGACCCAAGAUCAUAUUACCCAAGGAUUUCAAAUUAAGUGGGCCUAAAAGCAGCCAUCUUAUCAGAAAGCGUUAAAGCUCAAAUUAGCCUAUAUCCUCAUAUACUGAUAUUACAUCUCCCUCCCUGCCCCCUACCAGGCUGUCUUAUGCCUCCCAUAAGAACAAUUAUGCUAAAAUGAGUAAUAAGAAGAACUUAAUUCUUCUCCUAGCACGUGUGUAAGUCGGAACGGACCUCCCACCGACUAUUAAUCGACCCCAAACCCAGAGGGCAAUAGGUUAAAUAGACAAGAAAAACACCUAUUUCAUAUCGGUUAACCCCACACAGGUGUGCCUAAAGGAAAGACUAAAAGAGAAGGAAGGAACUCGGCAAACACAAGCCUCGCCUGUUUACCAAAAACAUCGCCUCUUGCUCCCAAAAUAUAAGAGGUCCCGCCUGCCCUGUGACUAUAAGUUUAACGGCCGCGGUAUUUUAACCGUGCGAAGGUAGCGUAAUCACUUGUCUUUUAAAUGAAGACCUGUAUGAAUGGCAUCACGAGGGCUUAGCUGUCUCCCAUCUCCAGUCAAUGAAAUUGACUUCCCCGUGCAGAGGCGGGGAUAAAUACAUAAGACGAGAAGACCCUAUGGAGCUUUAGACCUAAAGUAAUUCAUGUUUAAUAUACUAUGAUAACAGUGAAAACUUAGUGAUACUUACUGAAGUGUCUUUGGUUGGGGCGACCGCGGGGUAAAACACAACCCCCAUGUGGACUGGGGAUAUUAUCCCUAAUACUCAGAGCCUCUACUCCAAGUAACAGAAAUUCUGACUUUUCUGAUCCGGUAUAACCGAUCAACGAACCGAGUUACCCUAGGGAUAACAGCGCAAUCCCCUCUCAGAGCCCAUAUCGACGAGGGGGUUUACGACCUCGAUGUUGGAUCAGGACAUCCUAAUGGUGCAGCCGCUAUUAAGGGUUCGUUUGUUCAACGAUUAAAGUCCUACGUGAUCUGAGUUCAGACCGGAGUAAUCCAGGUCAGUUUCUAUCUAUGACAAGCUCUUUUCCAGUACGAAAGGACCGGAAAAAGGGGGCCUAUGCCAAAAGCACGCCCCUCCCCUAACCGCUGAAACCCAAUAAAGCGGACAAGGGGGCCUUAAAAAGACCCCAAAAAGAAUGGGUGU
RNAcentral lists this ribosomal RNA (1669 nucleotides) under Melanogrammus aeglefinus (haddock). Its description in RNAcentral is "16S ribosomal RNA". It matches the Rfam family "Bacterial large subunit ribosomal RNA". The record is from RNAcentral. Lineage: Eukaryota; Metazoa; Chordata; Actinopteri; Gadiformes; Gadidae.